CCUACGGGGGGCAGCAGUAGGGAAUAUUGGACAAUGGAGGCAACUCUGAUCCAGCCAUCCCGCGUGAAGGAUUAAGGUCCUAUGGAUUGUAAACUUCUUUUCUCUGGGAAUAAAAACUCCGUUUCUACGGAGCUUGAAGGUACCAGAGGAAUAAGCACCGGCUAACUCCGUGCCAGCAGCCGCGGUAAUACGGAGGGUGCAAGCGUUAUCGGGAUUCACUGGGGUGAAGGGGGGCGUGUAAGUCAUUGGUGAAAUGUCGCAGCUGAACUGCGAAACUGCCAUUGAUACUGUUUAGCUUGAAUCAAGUUGAGGUGGAUGGAAUAUUACAUGUAGCGGUGAAAUGCUUAGAUAUGUAAUAGAACACCAAUUGCGAAGGCAGUUCACUAAACUUGUAUUGACACUGAGGCUCGAAAGCGUGGGGAUCAAACAGGAUUAGAUACCCCAGUAGUC
RNAcentral lists this ribosomal RNA (450 nucleotides) under uncultured bacterium. Its description in RNAcentral is "partial 16S ribosomal RNA". It matches the Rfam family "Bacterial small subunit ribosomal RNA", at positions 338 to 795 of the family's 1533-position model. The record is from RNAcentral.